UUUAUCUCCUGUUUGUUCUUUUCAAGAAGUGGGCUCAAGAGAGACUCAAGUUCCAGUGAGGACUCAAGUGACAGCCACUCUGGCAGUGAUGAGGAGCAAGAACAGUGGAUGGAGAAAACAGCAGAUUUGGGAAGGCCUCAUUGCCAGGUGAAUGUACUGCCAUGGCUGCCUACAUGAACGCUGAGGUUGGCUAGCGUCAUGGUGCGAGUGGACAGACCGACGAUAUCUCCAAAGUGAAGAACAGGUUACAUCAUAAGUAGGACAGACCUCCUCAUAUGAAAGCUGUGGGUAUGCCCCAGGAG
Molecule: long non-coding RNA, 302 nt
Organism: Acanthaster planci (crown-of-thorns starfish)
Lineage: Eukaryota; Metazoa; Echinodermata; Asteroidea; Valvatida; Acanthasteridae
Source: RefSeq, a predicted model, not a curated record